UAAAGUGAUGCAGUACAGAUAUUCACACGUUGAAAAGAGUGUCACCUUUUGAGAUGGAGCUUUUUUCAAUGUGUGAAUUUUUUUAUGUAAAAAUGAACAUGUUAAUAUUUCUAGGAGGUACCUCAAAUGGAAACUGGAACAGUAAAAUGGUUUAACGCUGAGAAGGGCUUCGGCUUUAUCGAAGUUGAAGGCGGAAAUGACGUAUUCGUACAUUUCAGCGCAAUUACCGGCGAAGGCUUCAAGACGCUGGACGAAGGCCAACGUGUACAAUUCAACGUUGUUCAAGGCAACCGCGGCCCGCAAGCCGAAAACGUAGUCAAACUUUAAUACAGGCUAAACUGCUCUUAAC
Molecule: small RNA, 349 nt
Filed under: Paenibacillus ihumii
Lineage: Bacteria; Bacillati; Bacillota; Bacilli; Caryophanales; Paenibacillaceae
Description: cspA thermoregulator
Source: RNAcentral